CCUUCACAGCAGCCAGGGAUGCCUGGGCACAAGUGCCUGAGUUCCGAGGGACUUUGGGAAACACUUUGCUAACUCUCUCCUGCCUGGAAACCAGGAUUCUGCACCUGCCUGAUGGACAGUCUGGCCAGAGCCUCGGCCGUGCCCCCGGGGACAAGGAACUAGCACAAAUAACCGUUUGGAAAUUGGAUCAUGGCAAAAUUACUAAUAAGUCCAUAACGGAAACUGAAGGCAGUUUGAUCUACACCUUCAAUAACAGUCCCACAAAAGUUGAAGAAAUGUGUUAUGUCUCCAAAGACAUAUACUCCAAAGAGCAUAGUUAUACCCUAAAAUUAGGACGUGAUUCAGGUACGUCAUUUCUUUGAGUUCAGUUGAAAUGCUUUGUUCUUUGUACUGCAGAUAAUUCUUCUUUUUUCUCCCCCUAGUCCCUCUCUCUCUUCCUUUCCUUCUUCUCAUUAACAUAUGUCUUUUAUAAUUGAUGUUGUUUACCGUCCUUUCGUCAAAUCUAUGCCACAUCACUGAGGCGAGCCAUCCGGCAGGACACCUAAGUACACAUUAGAGGAGCCUGCGAGCCAUGAGAGGCUUUGACCGUCUCAUCAGGGCAAUUAUAAUAAGCAUCUUGGUCUCACUGAAGGCAUUGCAUUCAAAUAAUAGCCUUCAUCAUUACUCGUUUUAAAUAUGAAAGUAAACUUUGAAGCCCUUUGAAGGACCCAAGCAAACAACACACAUGUGAAAGUAGAUCAGUGAGCCUUUGAAAAGAUAUCCCUACGUAAAAUCUGUGAAGAAUCUUAGGCUUUAAAGAAAGACCUCCAGGUAAAUGAUGGCUUUUAAUAAGACACAUGACAAUCUCAAUUAUGAGAAUCCCUUCUGUGUGUUCUCUGUGCCAUUUUAUAUUCCCAGCAGGAUUUUUUUUUCUCAUCAAGAGUUUCCAGAGGUGUCUACUGUUAUCUAUGUGUAAAGCAUAUUUAAGUAGUCCCCCAAAGCUAUGCUAAUUAAAAAAAGAAAGAAAAAAA
This is a non-coding RNA of Delphinapterus leucas (beluga whale), 1010 nucleotides long. NCBI's taxonomy places the organism in Eukaryota, Metazoa, Chordata, Mammalia, Artiodactyla, Monodontidae. The record is from RefSeq and is a predicted model, not a curated record.